UCCUGGUUUCCCAGGCAGUCCCAUCAGAGUGCCUAUAAUAAAAUAGUAGCAACUGAUAGCAAGGGUUGCGCUCGUUAGAGGACUUAACCUAACGUCUCACGACACGAGCUGACGACAGCCAUGCAACACCUGUGAAAUUGUCUAAACCGAAGCCUAGAAAGCCGUAUUUCUACGGUUGUCAAAAACAUGUCAAGUCCAGGUAAGGUUCCUCGCGUAGUGUCGAAUUAAACCACAUGUUCCACCGCUUGUGCGGACCCCCGUCAAUUCCUUUAAGUUUUAGUCUUGCGACCGUACUCCCCAGGCGGAUCACUUAACGCGUUAGCUACGACACCAAUUCAGCAGAGCCGAACUGACGUCUAGUGAUCAUCGUUUACAGCGUGGACUAC
This 386-nucleotide unclassified non-coding RNA is filed under the name uncultured bacterium. RNAcentral's name for it is "contains 16S-23S intergenic spacer region". The record is from RNAcentral.